GCAGAGUUCGUAUAGUGGCUUAAUACUAUUGGUUUCCGCCCAGUAAACAUCGGUUCGAAUCCGAUACUCUGCU
RNAcentral lists this transfer RNA (73 nucleotides) under Yersinia phage phiR1-RT. It matches the Rfam family "tRNA". Rfam says of the family: Transfer RNA (tRNA) molecules are approximately 80 nucleotides in length. The record is from Rfam by way of RNAcentral. Lineage: Duplodnaviria; Heunggongvirae; Uroviricota; Caudoviricetes; Pantevenvirales; Straboviridae. RNAcentral also lists the same sequence under 1 other name.